This 315-nucleotide ribosomal RNA is filed under the name uncultured bacterium. Its description in RNAcentral is "bacterial SSU rRNA". It matches the Rfam family "Bacterial small subunit ribosomal RNA", at positions 28 to 334 of the family's 1533-position model. The record is from RNAcentral.
GGUAAACGCUGGCGGCGCACAUAAGACAUGCAAGUCGAACGGACUUAACCUAUAGUUUACUAUUGGAGCGGUUAGUGGCGGACUGGUGAGUAACGCGUAAGCAAUCUGCCUAUCAGAGGGGAAUAACAGUGAGAAAUCACUGCUAAUACCGCAUAAGCUGUGAGUAUCGCAUGAUACAAGCAGAAAAGGAGCAAUCCGCUGAUAGAUGGGCUUGCGUCUGAUUAGAUAGUUGGUAAGGUAACGGCUUACCAAGUCGACGAUCAGUAGCCGGACUGAGAGGUUGAACGGCCACAUUGGGACUGAGAUACGGCCCAG